CCUACGGGUGGCAGCAGUGAGGAAUAUUGGUCAAUGGACGAGAGUCUGAACCAGCCAAGUAGCGUGAAGGAUGACUGCCCUAUGGGUUGUAAACUUCUUUUAUAUGGGAAUAAAAUGUUCCACGUGUGGGAUUUUGUAUGUACCAUAUGAAUAAGGAUCGGCUAACUCCGUGCCAGCAGCCGCGGUAAUACGGAGGAUCCGAGCGUUAUCCGGAUUUAUUGGGUUUAAAGGGGGCGUAGGUGGAUUGUUAAGUCAGUUGUGAAAGUUUGCGGCUCAACCGUAAAAUUGCAGUUGAAACUGGCAGUCUGGAGUGCAGUAGAGGUGGGCGGAAUUCGUGGUGUAGCGGUGAAAUGCUUAGAUAUCACGAAGAACUCCGAUUGCGAAGGCAGCUCACUGGAGUGCAACUGACGCUGAGGCUCGAAAGUGUGGGUAUCGAACAGGAUUAGAUACCCCAGUAGUC
Molecule: ribosomal RNA, 460 nt
Filed under: uncultured bacterium
Lineage: Bacteria
Description: partial 16S ribosomal RNA
Rfam family: Bacterial small subunit ribosomal RNA
Source: RNAcentral